This 695-nucleotide ribosomal RNA is filed under the name barley straw ascomycete sp. GS-1. RNAcentral describes it as "SSU rRNA". It matches the Rfam family "Eukaryotic small subunit ribosomal RNA", at positions 39 to 738 of the family's 1831-position model. Lineage: Eukaryota; Fungi; Ascomycota. The record is from RNAcentral.
AAAGAUUAAGCCAUGCAUGUCUAAGUAUAAGCAAUUAUACCGCGAAACUGCGAAUGGCUCAUUAUAUAAGUUAUCGUUUAUUUGAUAGUACCUUACUACUUGGAUAACCGUGGUAAUUCUAGAGCUAAUACAUGCUAAAAAUCCCGACUUCGGAAGGGAUGUAUUUAUUAGAUUAAAAACCAAUGCCCUUCGGGGCUCACUGGUGAUUCAUGAUAACUCCUCGAAUCGCAUGGCCUUGUGCCGGCGAUGGUUCAUUCAAAUUUCUUCCCUAUCAACUUUCGAUGUUUGGGUAUUGGCCAAACAUGGUUGCAACGGGUAACGGAGGGUUAGGGCUCGACCCCGGAGAAGGAGCCUGAGAAACGGCUACUACAUCCAAGGAAGGCAGCAGGCGCGCAAAUUACCCAAUCCCGACACGGGGAGGUAGUGACAAUAAAUACUGAUACAGGGCUCUUUUGGGUCUUGUAAUUGGAAUGAGUACAAUUUAAAUCCCUUAACGAGGAACAAUUGGAGGGCAAGUCUGGUGCCAGCAGCCGCGGUAAUUCCAGCUCCAAUAGCGUAUAUUAAAGUUGUUGUGGUUAAAAAGCUCGUAGUUGAACCUUGGGCCUGGCUGGCCGGUCCGCCUCACCGCGUGCACUGGUCCGGCCGGGCCUUUCCCUCUGUGGAACCCCAUGCCCUUCACUGGGUGUGGCGGGGAA